AGUAACUGCGAGUGAAGCGGGAAAAGCUCAAAUUUAAAAUCUGGUGGCCCUUUCGCCAUCCGAGUUGUAAUUUAGAGAAGCGUCUUCCGCGCUGGACCGUGCAUAAGUCUCCUGGAACGGAGCGUCAUAGAGGGUGAGAAUCCCGUCUUUGGCACGGACCCCCAGGGCUUCUGUGAUGCGCUCUCGAAGAGUCGAGUUGUUUGGGAAUGCAGCUCAAAAUGGGUGGUGAACUCCAUCUAAAGCUAAAUAUUGGCGAGAGACCGAUAGCGAACAAGUACCGUGAGGGAAAGAUGAAAAGCACUUUGGAAAGAGAGUGAAACAGUACGUGAAAUUGUUGAAAGGGAAACGCUUGAAGUCAGUCGCGUCGACCGAGACUCAGCCUUGCCUCGGCUUGGUGUACUUCUCGGCUGAUGGGUCAGCAUCGAUUUCGACCCUUGGAUAAUGGUGGGGGAAAGGUGGCACCUUUACGGGUGUGUUAUAGUCCUCUAUCGGAUGUGGGGGUUGGGAUCGAGGAACUCAGCAUGCGCCUUUCGGUGUCGGGGCCUUGGCCCACGUCUACAUGCUUAGGAUGCUGGCAUAAUGGCUUUAAACGACCCGUCUUGAAACACGGACCAAGGAGUCUAACAUACCCGCGAGUGUUCGGGUGGAAAACCCGUGCGCGCAAUGAAAGUAAAAGUUGGGACCUCUGUCGUGGAGGGCACCGACGCCUGGACCAGACCUUCUGUGACGGCUCUACGGUAGAGCGUGUAUGUUGGGACCCGAAAGAUGGUGAACUAUGCCUGAAUAGGGUGAAGCCAGAGGAAACUCUGGUGGAGGCUCGUAGCGAUUCUGACGUGCAAAUCGAUCGUCAAAUUUGGGUAUAGGGGCGAAAGACUAAUCGAACCAU
Molecule: ribosomal RNA, 886 nt
Filed under: Russula cutefracta
Lineage: Eukaryota; Fungi; Basidiomycota; Agaricomycetes; Russulales; Russulaceae
Description: eukaryotic LSU rRNA
Rfam family: Eukaryotic large subunit ribosomal RNA
Source: RNAcentral